CCCACAUGUGCUGGCACAUGCCAAUAAAUCCCAAUUACUAGGGAGGAAGAGGACAGCAGAUCUGAGCUCAGUUGUUCUGAGCUGCAGUGGACUAUGAUGACUGGGUGUCCACACUAAGUUUGGCAUUAAUACAGAGAUCACCCAUUAGCAGGUGGCCCCAUGUUGCAUUAGGAGGGGUGCACUGGCCCAGGUUAGAAAUGGAACAAAACUCAGGUCAAAACUCCUGUGCUAAUCAGAGUGGUAUCAGGCCAACGAGUAGCCCCUGUACUUCCAGCCUACGUGAGAUAGGGAGACACAGUCUUU
RNAcentral lists this non-coding RNA (303 nucleotides) under Phascolarctos cinereus (koala). The record is from RNAcentral. Lineage: Eukaryota; Metazoa; Chordata; Mammalia; Diprotodontia; Phascolarctidae.